CAAGAUCUAUUUUCUUUAUGCUGUUAACCUUAGGCGGGGAGACUGGGGGAUCUUCAUUUAUAUUUUAAAAUUUGAUUCACUCUGCAGUUUGUCUCCUGUCUAUGUAUCCUUUUGAGAAACCGUUUAUGAGUGAUCAUUCUUCCAUCAGAUUGAACAGGAUCCAGGGGGAAGUACCAAGCCUGUCCCAUCGGCCAUCCUGUGUGUCAUGUCCUGUGACCCAGUGGAUGCUCAGCAUCCUCCAGCUGAAGAAACAGAUUGCCUUAGGUACAUGAAAGGUGAGGACACCUACUAUCCCCAUGGAGCCCAGUUGGGCCUGGGAGUCUGCUGUUUGUACAGCCGGUGGGCUCGUGUUGCUUUGGGCAUCCCUGUGCCUGAAUUCCUGCAGUACACUCGGUGCCUGUUUCCUAAUCUGCAAAACUGGAAUGAUGUUAACCAUCCCGCAGGUUUG
This is a long non-coding RNA of Camelus dromedarius (Arabian camel), 448 nucleotides long. RefSeq lists it as uncharacterized. The transcript is spliced from 3 exons. Lineage: Eukaryota; Metazoa; Chordata; Mammalia; Artiodactyla; Camelidae. The record is from RefSeq and is a predicted model, not a curated record.